RNAcentral lists this ribosomal RNA (253 nucleotides) under uncultured bacterium. Its description in RNAcentral is "partial 16S ribosomal RNA". It matches the Rfam family "Bacterial small subunit ribosomal RNA", at positions 524 to 776 of the family's 1533-position model. The record is from RNAcentral.
UACAGAGGGUGCGAGCGUUAAUCGGAAUUACUGGGCGUAAAGCGCGCGUAGACGGUUUUGUAAGUCAGAUGUGAAAUCCCUGGGCUCAACCUGGGAACUGCAUUUGAGACUGCAUGGCUAGAGUAUCGAAGAGGGAAGUGGAAUUUCCGGUGUAGCGGUGAAAUGCGUAGAUAUCGGAAGGAACACCAGUGGCGAAAGCGACGUGCUGGACACCUACUGACGCUGAGGCGCGAAAGCCAGGGGAGCAAACGGG